GACAGCAGUAGCCACGGUAACACGUAGGGUGCAAGCUUUAAUCGGAAUUACUGGGCGUAAAGCGUGCGCAGGCGGUUUUGUAAGACAGAGGUGAAAUCCCCGGGCUCAACCUGGGAACUGCCUUUGUGACUGCAAGGCUAGAGUACGGCAGAGGGGGAUGGAAUUCCGCGUGUAGCAGUGAAAUGCGUAGAUAUGCGGAGGAACACCGAUGGCGAAGGCAAUCCCCUGGGCCUGUACUGACGCUCAUGCACGAAAGCGUGGGGAGCAAACAGGAUUAGAUACCCCUGUAGUCCCUGUCUCUUAUAC
This 306-nucleotide ribosomal RNA is filed under the name uncultured bacterium. Its description in RNAcentral is "partial 16S ribosomal RNA". It matches the Rfam family "Bacterial small subunit ribosomal RNA", at positions 505 to 807 of the family's 1533-position model. The record is from RNAcentral.